GGGGGUAUAGCUCAGUGGUAGAGCAUGUACUUCUUGCACGAGGCCCUGGGUUCAAUCCCCAGUACCUCCA
This 70-nucleotide transfer RNA is filed under the name Loxodonta africana (African savanna elephant). RNAcentral's name for it is "tRNA-Arg (TCT) (tRNA-Arg-TCT-20-1)". It matches the Rfam family "tRNA". Rfam says of the family: Transfer RNA (tRNA) molecules are approximately 80 nucleotides in length. Their secondary structure includes four short double-helical elements and three loops (D, anti-codon, and T loops). Further hydrogen bonds mediate the characteristic L-shaped molecular structure. tRNAs have two regions of fundamental functional importance: the anti-codon, which is responsible for specific mRNA codon recognition, and the 3' end, to which the tRNAs corresponding amino acid is attached (by aminoacyl-tRNA synthetases). tRNAs cope with the degeneracy of the genetic code in two manners: having more than one tRNA (with a specific anti-codon) for a particular amino acid; and 'wobble' base-pairing, i.e. permitting non-standard base-pairing at the 3rd anti-codon position. The record is from Rfam by way of RNAcentral. Lineage: Eukaryota; Metazoa; Chordata; Mammalia; Proboscidea; Elephantidae.